AUACGGGGGGUGCAAGCGUUAUUCGGAUUUAUUGGGCGUAAAGGGCGCGUAGGCGGCUUGGUAAGUCAGAUGUGAAAGCCCGGGGCUCAACCCCGGAAGUGCAUUUGAAACCAUCAGGCUUGAGUAUGGGAGAGGGAAGUGGAAUUCCUGGUGUAGAGGUGAAAUUCGUAGAUAUCAGGAGGAACACCGGUGGCGAAGGCGACUUCCUGGACCAAUACUGACGCUGAGGCGCGAAGGCGUGGGGAGCAAACAGGAUUAGAAACCCUAGUAGUCC
RNAcentral lists this ribosomal RNA (274 nucleotides) under uncultured bacterium. RNAcentral's name for it is "partial 16S ribosomal RNA". It matches the Rfam family "Bacterial small subunit ribosomal RNA", at positions 523 to 796 of the family's 1533-position model. The record is from RNAcentral.